This is a long non-coding RNA of Neopelma chrysocephalum (saffron-crested tyrant-manakin), 2511 nucleotides long. RefSeq lists it as uncharacterized. The record is from RefSeq and is a predicted model, not a curated record. The transcript is spliced from 3 exons. NCBI's taxonomy places the organism in Eukaryota, Metazoa, Chordata, Aves, Passeriformes, Pipridae.
AUUGCCGGGAUCCGGGUGUUCCCUCUCCCCGUGAUCUAAAGCUUGCUGGAAACUUGUCACCCUAGUUAACAGGAGUUUUCGGCUCAGCGCGUGUGCUCUGCCGAGAGAGGAAAAGAGGAGGGAUUCGACCGCACGUACAGCUGCACUGCUCUCCAGAACAGAGCACGGGCAUGGUGAGGUUGUGCUCUGCAGACGUGCUCUCUUGAUGUACGAGAGUGAAAUGCUGAGUGAAGCAGGUAGAUACAGGCAAAAGAGAGACACAUAAUGCAGGACACCAGACCUGCCUUUUGUGCCGAAACAACAUUCCCCCUAUAUACGACUGAUGAAGACAGCGCUGCCACAGUCUUGCCCUUCCCCCUUGUACCAGCAUUUCCAAGUUCCAGUGACAAGUUUGUUCGGGAGCUAAACCAGCAGAAAAUUAACAUCGCAAAAGUAAACGAAUGGAGGAAGGGAGAAUGCGAGUCUAGGACUGAUAGAGUGGGACUGCCACAGAGCUGAUUUCAAUCAGCUGAACCUGCUGUGGAAUUGAACACUUGGAAUCGCUUCCCUCCGUUGGAUACGUUUAAAAUUGGAUUCAAAUUCACACACACAGGCAUGAGCUCCCCCAAGCACCGUCUGGCCGUAGUCUGUCCCCUGGUUGCAACAUAAAGGUGUUUAUGUCAGUUCAGGGUAGUAUAUCAGUAACUUCGCUUCAAAGACAGCCACAGAACCAGCCGGUAUCAAGAAUCCCACAGUUACAUGGGAGCUUACAGGAUUGCUGCUGGCGGGGAACUGAGGUAAAAACCAGGCAGCUCAGCUUAAAUGCCAGAUCCAUGAAGGGGGCACCAUCAAAGCUGGAGUUAAAACCUAACAGUUACCCUUCAGCCCUGAACCAAGACCUGAAAACUAACUUCCUUUUGUACCACACUUGAAAUCCCAAAGCCUUUUCAGAAAUAUGGAUACACCCUGAUAAUUUAAAAAAAAUAAAUUGUGAACCCAGGCAAGAGAAUACGCAAAAACACGCCUUGUUUGGCAAGGUAUUUUGCCAAAUACAUCCAUUCAACCCCAUGGAAAAUGGACAAGUAAGGUAAUUGCAGUGGUUGACCUAAGGCCUGGUCCAUGCAUACCUGGUGUACUGCACUCUGCUCAGCCUUAGUGAGGCUGCAUCUGGAGUACUGUGUCCAGUUUUGCACUCUUCAGUACAAGAGACACAUGGAGCUUCUGGAGUGGGGAACUACAAAGAUGAUUAAGGGAUGAGCAUUUCUCUUAGGAGGAAAGGCUGCAGGAGCUUCAGCCUUGAGAAGAGAUGACCGAGAGGGGACCUCAUCGAUGUCUAUAAGUGUCUGAAGGGAGAGUGUCAUGAGUAUGGAGCCAGACUCUUUUCAGUGUGCCAAGUAAUAAGACAAGAAAAAACAGAAAAUGGUCCACGGAAAGUUCCACCUGAAUAUGAGGAAGAAGUUAUUUACUGUGCAGGUGACCACGCACUGUAACAGAUUGCCCAGAGAAGUUGUGGAGUCUUCCUGACUGGAGGUAUUCAAGAACCAUCCUGAUGCAAUUCUGUGCAACAUGCUUGAGGUCGACUCUACUUGAAUAGGGAGGUUGGACCAGGUGACCCACUGUGGUCCCUUCCAACCUUACCCAUUCUGGAUUCUGUGACACUAAGAGCCCUAUCUUUAGCUGUAUAAAGGUAUUUAAAGAAGCAUGAAAUAACCAGGACUUCCAUUAUAGGUGCUUUAAAGCCACUUGAAAAUGAGGAAAGACAAUACACAGUUCAAAAAUUCUUUCAAUUAAACCUUUGUAUAUUUAUUGCCAAGGGAUCUCACCAAAACUUUCAGAACCGUGUUCUUACAUUUUGCUAUUAUCCUACUCUGCAGUAGUGUGGAAUCCUAAAGAAGUAUCCUGAAGGGAUAUUCUGGGAUUACAAUACUUACAGUUUUCUGAAUUUACCCAGAUUUUGAGAUUCCUUUGUCUGAAACUAUUGCUGGGUAUUUCAGAGGGCGUUCCACAACAAAAGGAGGAGGAUGUCCAUGAACAGCACCAGAAUGGGAUAUAAAGCUACAACUGCAAACCAGAAUUUGGUACUUGAGAAAGGAAUGAGUGAAAUAUAAUACAGCAGACUAAAGCAGUGAGGAAUGUGUUUCUGGACCCAAAUCUGUGAUGCACCGAUGUUUUUCCUGAACAAACACACAAAAGCACGUCAGCAGUGAUUUUUCAUUUCCUCGCUCUGUGAUGAGAUAAAUCCUCCUCUAUGAGCCUGUGGAGUAACACAUUGGAAAUGGAUUUACUCGUAACUUGAGCUCAACAGCUCCUGCUAAACCAGUAAAAAAACCAGAAUAACUCUUCUGAAAGUGAAAUUAAUCCAAAUUAUUCAGAACUAUGUUAUUUUUUAAAACUUCCUUUUACCUAUAUGUUGGGAGAAAUAAAAAAGAAAGCUAUAACAUCAAGGGGAGAUGACUCUGGAAAAACAAGGCUGCAGCAAACUUACCUUUCAUUAGGGACUCCCCAAGUUUAAUGGGCCAUCUUACAAAGAAA